GAAAUCUGGCUGGUUUACUAGUCCGAGUUGUAAUUUAAAGAAGCGUUUUCGGUGGCAGCCUGGGUAUAAAUCCUUUGGAAUAGGGUAUCAUAGAGGGUGAGAAUCCCGUCUUUGACCUAGUGCAUGCUACUAUGUGAUACGUUUUCAAAGAGUCGAGUUGUUUGGGAAUGCAGCUCAAAAUGGGUGGUAAAUUUCAUCUAAAGCUAAAUAUUGGCGAGAGACCGAUAGCGAACAAGUACCGUGAGGGAAAGAUGAAAAGAACUUUGAAAAGAGAGUUAAACAGUGCGUGAAAUUGUUGAAAGGGAAACGUUUGACACCAGUCAUGUGGGUGGAAAAUCAGUCUUUUGCAUUGGGGAGUUGUAAGGGUUCGGACCGCAAGGCCGGCUUUUGCUUCAUCUUUGGUGUAAGUGAUGCACUUUUUCAUCUACAGGUCAACAUCAGUUUCUUUUGCUGGACAAAACUCCGAGAGAAGGUAGCAGCUUAGGCUGUGUUAUAGCUCUGGAGCGAUACAGUGAAGGGGACUGAGGUUUUCGCAGCGUGUGCUCUCGGGCAAGGCUGGAUGGGUGCUAUGGGAUCGUUCGGGGUACAAUGCCUGGCAUUUUGCUUCGUGUCUUUUCUAUACUCGCUCAACUCAGCUCUUCCACGCUUAGGAUGUUGACUUAAUGGUUUUAAACGACCCGUCUUGAAACACGGACCAAGGAGUCUAACAUAUAUGCAAGUGUUUGGGCGGCAAACCCAUGCGCGUAAUGAAAGUGAACGUAGGUGCGAUCCGCAAGGUGCAGCAUCGACCGAUCUUGAUAUUUUUGGAUAGAUUUGAGUAAGAGCAUAUAUGCUGGGACCCGAAA
RNAcentral lists this ribosomal RNA (845 nucleotides) under uncultured fungus. RNAcentral describes it as "eukaryotic LSU rRNA". It matches the Rfam family "Eukaryotic large subunit ribosomal RNA", at positions 117 to 821 of the family's 3401-position model. Lineage: Eukaryota; Fungi. The record is from RNAcentral.